RNAcentral lists this ribosomal RNA (492 nucleotides) under uncultured bacterium. RNAcentral's name for it is "partial 16S ribosomal RNA". It matches the Rfam family "Bacterial small subunit ribosomal RNA", at positions 28 to 506 of the family's 1533-position model. The record is from RNAcentral.
GACGAACGCUGGCGGCGUGCUUAACACAUGCAAGUCGAACGGAAAGGCCUGCUUUCCCUUGCGCAUUGCGGGUACUCGAGUGGCGAACGGGUGAGUAACACGUGAGUGAUCUGCCCCCAACUUGGUUAUAAGCCUGGGAAACUGGGUCUAAUUACCUAUAGGACUGCAGGGUUGUGUCUUUAGUGGCAAACUAUUUUCUAGUGGUUGGGGAUGAGCUCGCGGCCUAUCGGCUUGUUGGUGGGGUAAUUGACUAACAAGGCGGCGACGGGUAGCCGGCCUGAGAGGGUGGACGGGCACAUAGGGACGGAGAUACGGCCCAGACUACGACGGGAGGGAGCAGUGGGGAAUAUUGCACAAUGGGCGGAAGCCUGAUGCAGCGACGCCGCGGGAGGAUGACGGCCUUCGGGUUGUAAACUCCUUGCGACAGCGAGGAAGCAACCUGGUUGGAAGGGUGGGGACGGUAGUGGUAGAAGAAGCACCGGCUAACUACGU